UGGAGCAAUGUUGUGAGACUCUGCCUCGAU
This 30-nucleotide non-coding RNA is filed under the name Mus musculus (house mouse). Lineage: Eukaryota; Metazoa; Chordata; Mammalia; Rodentia; Muridae. The record is from RNAcentral.